CCCCUAGAUGUUCUGGGCCGCACGCGCGCUACACUGAACAGUUCAACAAGUCUUAACCUUGGCCGAUAGGUCUGGGUAAUCUUUGAACGCUGUUCGUGAUUGGGAUAGACCUUUGCAAUUAUGGGUCUUCAACGAGGAAUUCCUAGUAAACGCAAGUCAUCAGCUUGCAUUGAUUACGUCCCUGCCCUUUGUACACACCGCCCGUCGCACCUACCGAUUGAAUGGUCCGGUGAAAUCUCGGGACGGCGGCUUGGUCGCUUGCGUCCGACUGCUGAAACUUGAUUAAACCAUAUUAUUUAGAGGAAGGUGAAGUCGUAACA
Molecule: ribosomal RNA, 320 nt
Filed under: uncultured eukaryote
Lineage: Eukaryota
Description: partial 18S ribosomal RNA
Rfam family: Eukaryotic small subunit ribosomal RNA
Source: RNAcentral